UUCAUCUUUUGGUCUUGAUGAAAGAUGUAAUGGGAAGAAAAUAUAUAAAUGGCAUAUGUUUUGGAGGAUAUGAAAUGUAUUUUGUAAAAAUGAAUGUAAAUUGUAAUAUGCUUGUAUUUGGUUAAAUGAAAUCAAGAUACAUGUGAUGUGAUGAUAGUUGUAGAACUUUCACUUAUUGGUUGUUGCUUGCUUUCGUGCAAGCCAUGUAUAUCUAAGUUUCCGCUUGCGUAAAUUAUAUACAUGUUGAUAUUGUGUUGUGCCUUGGGCGGACAGGGGAGGUGCUGUCUGUCCGGCGUCUGUUGACGUA
RNAcentral lists this long non-coding RNA (307 nucleotides) under Ananas comosus (pineapple). RNAcentral's name for it is "long non-coding RNA (ACOM_LNC002053)". The record is from RNAcentral. Lineage: Eukaryota; Viridiplantae; Streptophyta; Magnoliopsida; Poales; Bromeliaceae.